RNAcentral lists this ribosomal RNA (468 nucleotides) under uncultured bacterium. RNAcentral describes it as "partial 16S ribosomal RNA". It matches the Rfam family "Bacterial small subunit ribosomal RNA", at positions 28 to 507 of the family's 1533-position model. The record is from RNAcentral.
GACGAACGCUGGCGGCGUGCUUAACACAUGCAAGUCGAACGGAAAGGCCCUGCUUUUGUGGGGUGCUCGAGUGGCGAACGGGUGAGUAACACGUGAGUAACCUGCCCUUGACUGUGGUAUCACUUCAGAAAACUGGGGCUAAUACCGGAUAGGAGCUCCUGCUGCAUGGUGGGGGGUGGAGAGUUUCGGCGGUUGGGGAUGGACUCGCGGCUUAUCAGCUUGUUGGUGGGGUAGUGGCAUACCAAGGCUUUGACGGGUAGCCGGCCUGAGAGGGUGACCGGCCACACUGGGACUGAGAUACGGCCCAGACUCCUACGGGAGGCAGCAGUGGGGAAUAUUGCACAAUGGGCGGAAGCCUGAUGCAGCGACGCCGCGUGCGGGAUGACGGCCUUCGGGUUGUAAACCGCUUUCGCCUGUGACGAAGCGUGAGUGACGGUAAGGGGUAAAGAAGCACCGGCUAACUACGUG